UGGGGAAUAUUGCACAAUGGGCGAAAGCCUGAUGCAGCAACGCCGCGUGCGGGAUGACGGCCUUCGGGCUGUAAACCGCUUUCAGCAGGGACGAAGGUUUUCUGACGGUACCUGCAGAAGAAGCACCGGCUAACUACGUGCCAGCAGCCGCGGUGAUACGUAGGGUGCGAGCGUUGUCCGGAAUUAUUGGGCGUAAAGAGCUUGUAGGCGGUCCGUUGCGUCGGAAGUGAAAACUCAGGGCUUAACCCUGAGCCUGCUUUCGAUACGGGCGGACUUGAGGGAUGUAGGGGAGAACGGAAUUCCUGGUGGAGCGGUGGAAUGCGCAGAUAUCAGGAGGAACACCAGUGGCGAAGGCGGUUCUCUGGACAUUUCCUGACGCUGAGAAGCGAAAGCGUGGGGAGCAAACAGGCUUAGAUACCCUGGUAGUCCACGCCGUAAACGGUGGGCACUAGGUGUGGGACCCAUUCCACGGGUUCCGUGCCGUAGCUAACGCAUUAAGUGCCCCGCCUGGGGAGUACGGCCGCAAGGCUAAAACUCAAAGGAAUUGACGGGGUCAUGCUGUUUCCUG
Molecule: ribosomal RNA, 568 nt
Filed under: uncultured bacterium
Lineage: Bacteria
Description: partial 16S ribosomal RNA
Rfam family: Bacterial small subunit ribosomal RNA
Source: RNAcentral